RNAcentral lists this long non-coding RNA (2679 nucleotides) under Homo sapiens (human). RNAcentral describes it as "non-protein coding lnc-INO80D-8:1". Lineage: Eukaryota; Metazoa; Chordata; Mammalia; Primates; Hominidae. The record is from RNAcentral.
GCAGAGCAGAGUGCCGCGGCACCCAGCUCGGGCGGGGCGGCGACGGCUUCUCUCGGGCCGCCGCAGGAUCGAAGUUAAGGCGGCGCCCAUCCCACCACCCCUCGCCCGCCCCGCAUCUCCCGAUCGCCCCCGCGCACCUCCGCGCCGGGCCGCCGGUGCGUAACGCCCUGGGGAAGAAGCGCCCCCGGGCACCCCCAGGGCGCGCCGCCUUGGCCGUGUCGCCCCCACCCAAGGGAGACCCCGGGGGGACGGGGGGAAAAGCCUUGUUCCCCCUAAAUUCCACGACUCCGAUGCCACACACGCAGAACCCAACACAAUGCCACGCGCGAUGGCGUUACAAGAGGAGUUGGGUGGCGUACGGUGUUUGGGGUAGCGAGCCGGUCGGCAGCUCAGCCAUGCGUUCGAACAGGCAGCGGUGCGUGGCGGCGACACACACCGUCAGCCCGGUCUGAAUAAAACCCCAAACACUCGCUGCGUUUACUACUCAGAUCCUUUGUUAUGUCCCAAACAUGCUCUGCUCCUCUCUGGGUUAGGAUUUCGUUACCCCUGCGCCUUUAACUGUAACUACCCUAAAAAGAGGAAAGACUUUCUUCAGCAAAUAAUUUCUUCAGGUAAUUAAAUUGGAUUCCAUCAAGUUCCCCCGAAAAAGUAUAGGUGCUUGAAGGCGUCUCAUCCAAAUGCUACUGUAACUACGUCUAUUCACAUUUUCCCCCAUGGAAACGUGGUCACAAAGCCUAGAGAAAGAAAACAUCAUUAUGCCAACUAUUUUUAAAUGGAGGCGUGAAAACUGUUUAGAGGGAACUGCAAGCUAACAGUUGGGGAAACACUUGUAUCUUUGUUUCUGAGGAUGGCUUUGUGGAUUCCAAACUGUCUUGCUUCACCAGACACCUAUUACUACAUUAUCAUAAAGACUGCAACAGAAACAGCCUAAAUUACACCCUGCACAUGUACACCUUUUCUGCCACAAAAGAGGUAUAUGAAAAAUAAGAAAAUUCAGAAAAAUAUUUACAGAUUAAGAUUUUUUUUAAAUUAAGAAAGUAAAAUUUUCUGUAGAUUAAGAAAAAUACAGUUUCGGUGACGAGAAACACACACCUGACUACCCAUUUUCUUCUUGGCUUGUACUUGUGGAUUCUUCUGGGUGGUUUCCCUCCUUAUCUGGACUUGCCCAUUAGCUUUAUCACUUUUAGUGUUUGAAAAAUCUGUAACUCCCACUUAACUGUUAUUUACACUGAGAUAACCAAAACAAAAUUGAAUCAGAAGUGAUUUGCAAAUAGUUGAGCCAAGCUGUGUUGGGGGGUGGCGCGGGAUUUUAGAGUGGAAAUCCACAGGCUGAGUAUCACACUGUUAAUCUCAGAUGCCUGGUUGGGAAAGGCACAGCACAGAGGCCUCUGAGUUCUUCCAGGGAGCAUGUCUCUUGGCUAGCCUAAAUGCUACCUUUCAUUCCCUCUUUGCCUCCCUCCUUCCUCUUCCUCCCUCCUUUCCUUCCUUCUUCCUUCCUUUCUAGGCUUGAGAGCACAUCCACAUUAUUAAAAACUCCAGAUUUACAUUUCUCCUCUUUAAAGCUCAAUUGUAAAGAAUGACUCCAAGCCUUAAAUAUUUAACAAAGUAAAAGAGCAGUUUGGAUUAUUAACCUUAAGCAGAGAUCCCGGUUUAUGUCAUUGCCAAGAUGCUAAUCUAAGGACAAAGAACGCUAUCUGUAGUGACAGUCCCUGAAUAGAGAGGGCCAUUUAAUAUCACCUCUCCCCACCACUCACCAGGCAUGCCAAACCAUUUUUGCCAGUGCCCAAUGUGGGAGACUCCUGUUUGUGAGAAUAAUGUAGCCAGGGUUUAGGUGAAGGGCACUGUGAAAGGGGGAAAGAAGAGAGAAAAGGUAAACCUAAGCCCACUGGAGAACCAUAAGAAUGACAACCCUGGACUUCUGGUCUUGGGGUCUCAGGGAUGAAGGUCCCCAUCAGGCUGCUUCCAGAGUAGAGAAAAGUAAGAAUCAGUUUUGUUCCUGGCCUGGUUGCCUACACUGUAACUUUUCAUUUUUCAGCGGUGUCCUACAGGGGACGCUCACUUACUUCCUGGGAGUCCUCUGUACCAGGGCUGCAAGACUUCCCACUCCCCUUGAGUGAAGGCCUCAUUUCCUGCAGUUGGACAGAGAGUGAGUCUCAGGUUUCCAUCCCUGGGGACUCAAGCGGCCAGACCAUUUUUCAAUCCUCUAGGGGGCAGCACUCAAUAAAUAAUGGUAACACCACCCAGGGUCACACUUCUGGUGGUGCUUUUAAUUCCAAGGAGUUCAAAGUGCUUUAUCAGACCAGGGAAGAUUCAGAGUGAGGCCGAUCUCUCCCCAGCCUACUCUGAACAAGACCCCACCGGCCCAGAGAGGGCUUAGAAUUGUUUUAACCUAAGACUUCCAAGGACUCUUGGGAACUAAACACAAAUCUCACAUGUGCCACAUGGAAAACAAAUCUUUAGGGAAAUUCUUCACACUGGGACUGGCUCAGACCUGCCAGUCUUGUUUCCCUCUAGACUGGGAUCUCAGGGUUUGACUGCAGUUGGUCUGGUUUCCACCAGAGGUAUAGUGGUAAAGAGCUAGGUAGGCACCGUGCUUUUCAGUAUUUUGUGAGUCCACAUCCCUGGCCCAUAGGGAAGCCUGCCUACCUAAAGGCCAGUGUCAAAAAUCGGGUUUGUGAU